RNAcentral lists this long non-coding RNA (1429 nucleotides) under Astyanax mexicanus (Mexican tetra). Its description in RNAcentral is "lncRNA (ENSAMXG00005018134.1)". Lineage: Eukaryota; Metazoa; Chordata; Actinopteri; Characiformes; Acestrorhamphidae. The record is from RNAcentral.
GACCAGUCUAUUUAUUUAGUUAGCUAAAUAAAUGUGAAACCAAAACAAUGUAAAAACUAAACUAAAAUGUAGUGUUACAUUUGUUUAUUUGCACUAAUACGUGUUGAAGGCUUUUUAAAUACUGUUUAGCCAGUGUCCUAUUUUGCGAUUUGGGACACAGCCACAUAUUCACCAUACACAUAAUUUCUCUACACAUCUCCUUGUUUAUGAUACUUUAAAUAAAGUUUAUAUCUAUAACGCUAGAUAUGUAUUUUUUCUAUAUAAAACAACAGUAUAAAUACUAUACUAUACACACGAAUCGGGAUAAUUUCGUUUAGGCUUCAUAGGAACUAAUCAGCUUUAAUAUUGUAGCUGGUCGGACACAUUUAUUUGUGUACCCAUAGGACGCUGAGAGAUGUAUUAUUUUUGAGUGUAAAUGUUUUUUAAACCUCCUGGUUUUCAGUCUUUCUGCUGUAAGCAAGGGUAAGAAUACAUCCAGAAAGGAUGAUGCGCUACUGGGGUGAACUCCCAGUUGCAUCCGCCCCUCCAGGCCGGAGCUCCUUUGACCUUUUACAAAGAGAAUUUCGCCAAGUAGAGAUGCAAGACCCUCCGCUGCACCAGCCAUCAGCACAGCGGCCGCGGCCCACCACCAUGCUGGACAUCCCCUCAGAGCCCUGCAGCCUCACCAUCCACACAGUGCAGCUCAGCCAGCACGCCCGGCGCCUCCGCAGCCUCCUCACCGCAGCACAGCUCGGCCAGCAGCCUCUGGCAGCUUUAUCAGACGCGCAGGGCCUGCUGAGACCAGAGGACGGGGAUUCACUGCCCCCACGGCCGGUUACUCCAGCAGUACCUGACGAUCUCUUGCCUCUGGACAGUAAAGCUCCCUGUGAACCCUUCCAGCUCCGGCACAGCGACCCAGAGAGCCACUUCUACAAAGGUGAAGGGGAGCCGGUGACGGAGUUGAGCUGGCCCUCCUGCCGUCAGCUCCUCUACCAGUCGGUUGCUACAGUCUUGGCUCACGCUGGCUUUGAGUCUGCGACCGAGAGCGUGCUGGAGACCCUGACUGACCUGGUUCAUGAGCACUACCUGCGGCUGACCCGGCUCCUCCGGGUGGCGGUGGACCGCGAGGCUCGUCUCGGCUCGACCGCCUUCCCCGACGUGGUGGAGCAGGUCUUUCAUGAGGUGGGCAUUGGAAGCGUGCUUGCCCUGCAGCGCUUCUGGCAAGUCCGCAUCAAAGACUACCACAGCUACAUGCUGCAGGUAAACAACUUGGACAACUUUUUUUGUUUUUAAAGCAGGCAUUACCACCCACAGUCAAAAGUCAUGGGAAUGAUUCAUGGUAAUUCCCUUCUUCUGGCAUGUCAGAAUAUACAGGUACACCUGAUGUUCUAAGAAAUUAGAACAUAAUUGAAAAGUUACUUUAUUUCAGUAAUUCAGUUCAAAAUGUGAA